This 301-nucleotide ribosomal RNA is filed under the name uncultured bacterium. RNAcentral's name for it is "partial 16S ribosomal RNA". It matches the Rfam family "Bacterial small subunit ribosomal RNA", at positions 509 to 807 of the family's 1533-position model. The record is from RNAcentral.
CAGCCGCCGCGGUAAUACGAAGGGUGCAAGCGUUACUCGGAAUUACUGGGCGUAAAGCGUGCGUAGGUGGUGGUUUAAGUCCGUUGUGAAAGCCCUGGGCUCAACCUGGGAAUUGCAGUGGAUACUGGAUCACUAGAGUGUGGUAGAGGAUAGUGGAAUUUCCGGUGUAGCAGUGAAAUGCGUAGAGAUCGGAAGGAACACCUGUGGCGAAGGCGACUAUCUGGGCCAACACUAACACUGAGGCACGAAAGCGUGGGGAGCAAACAGGAUUAGAUACCCGCGUAGUCCCUGUCUCUUAUAC